UCGAGAAUUUUUCACAAUGGGGGAAACCCUGAUGGAGCGACGCCGCGUGGGGGAUGAAUGGCUUCGGCCCGUAAACCCCUGUCAUUUGUGACCAACCCGCGUUAUUUAAAAGAUGGCGCGCUGAUGGUAGCGAAAGAGGAAGGGACGGCUAACUCUGUGCCAGCAGCCGCGGUAAUACAGAGGUCCCGAGCGUUGUUCGGAUUCACUGGGCGUAAAGGGUGCGUAGGUGGUGGGGUAAGUCGGAUGUGAAAGCUCGGAGCUCAACUCCGAAAUGGCAUUGGAAACUGCCCUGCUCGAGGGUCGGAGGGGGACUGGAAUUCUCGGUGUAGCAGUGAAAUGCGUAGAUAUCGAGAGGAACACCCGUGGCGAAGGCGAGUCCCUGGACGACACCUGACACUGAGGCACGAAAGCUAGGGGAGCAAACAGGAUUAGAUACCCUGGUAGUCCUAGCCGUAAACGGUGCGCGUUUGCUGUAAGAGGAAUCGACCCCUUUUGUGGCGAAGCC
This 505-nucleotide ribosomal RNA is filed under the name uncultured Verrucomicrobiota bacterium. RNAcentral's name for it is "bacterial SSU rRNA". It matches the Rfam family "Bacterial small subunit ribosomal RNA", at positions 355 to 853 of the family's 1533-position model. Lineage: Bacteria; Pseudomonadati; Verrucomicrobiota. The record is from RNAcentral.